This 1348-nucleotide long non-coding RNA is filed under the name Sorghum bicolor (sorghum). RNAcentral describes it as "long non-coding RNA (SBIC_LNC018467)". Lineage: Eukaryota; Viridiplantae; Streptophyta; Magnoliopsida; Poales; Poaceae. The record is from RNAcentral.
CACUAUCUCCAAACAGACCGAACCGGGCUUUCACUUGAGCCUCUUCACCUAGGAGUACCAUCGGGAACUUUCACAACGAUUUUUGAGCCUAUGGUGCACUGGGCACAAACCAUGCAACUAUCUUGCACCGAAACUAAUACUAUCUCCAAAUGGACCGAAGCGAGAUUCCAUAUGAUACACUUCAUCUAGUAGUUCCAUCGGGUGCAUCUACAGUUCCAUCGGGUGUGUCCAAAUUGAUUUCUGAGCAUAUGGUAUGUUCCAUGCAAACCGUGCACCUAUCUUGCAUCAAGAUUAGAACUUUCUCCAAACAGACAGAACCAAGAUUCCACAUGAGCCUCUUCACCAAGGAGUACCAUCGCGUGCGUCCAAAAUAGUUUCUUAGCCUAUGGUGCAUUAGGCAGAAACUGUUUACCUAUCUUGGACCGAAACUAACACUAUCUCCAAAGAGACCGAAGUGAGAUUCUAUAUGACACAUGUCAUCUAGGAGUUCUAUUGGGUGCUUCCAAAUAUAUUUCUAAGCGUAUGGUACGUUUGAUGCAAUUCGUGCACCUAUCUUGCAUCAAGAUUAGUACUAUCUCCAAACAAAGCAAACUGAGCUUCCACUUGAGCCCUUUUUCCGAGGAGUAUCAUCGAGUGCAUCUAAAAUGGUUCUUAGCCUAUGAUGCAUUAGGCGCAAACUGUGUACCUAUCUUGCACCAAAACUACCUCUGUCUCCAAACAAACCAAAGCGAGAUUCUAUAUGACACAUGUCAUCUAGGUGUUCUAUUGGGGUGCGUCCAAAUGGAUUUCUUAGCAUAUGGUAUGUUCCAUGCAAACUGUAACACCUCCGUGUUAAGCAUGCAUUAUGCAUAUAACUAAUUAACCUUAAACCUUCAUUUAAGCAUGGCAUAAGCAUCAUCAAGCACUAACCCUAAAUGCAUCAUUAUUUUAUGUGUUGCAUUUGUUUUAAUUUAAUUAAUUGCUUGAGUGUUGUUUUGUUAAUUAAUUGUCUUGCAAACAACUUGAUCAAGUUUGGAUCCAUGUGCCUAGCCUUUCAAAAUGAUUUAGCAAAAUUUAUUGCAAAAGAUUUGGUGCAUUUUGGAGCAAAAGAAAAUAAAUUGGAAAAAAUUUCCUAUUAUUCCCAAGAUUCAAAAUAAAUUUGUGGUUCAAAAAUUAUUUAGAAUUUUGAGUUGAGACCUAAAUGAAAGUUGUUCAGCUUGAAAUUCUCUGCAACUUUUAUUUUGGGCACUUUUCAUGAAAAAGCUUUUAAAUUUGCCAAAUAAUUGCAUUUGAGUUGGAUUAAAAAAAAUAAAAAAAUAAAAGGGGAACCAGCGCGAACCGGCAGGCCGGAUUCGGCCCACACCGGCCC